GGGCCCGCACAAGCGGUGGAGCAUGUGGUUUAAUUCGAUGCAACGCGAAGAACCUUACCUGCCCUUGACAUCCUCGGAAGGGACCGGAAACGGACCUGUGCCUUCGGGAACCGAGAGACAGGUGCUGCAUGGCUGUCGUCAGCUCGUGUCGUGAGAUGUUGGGUUAAGUCCCGUAACGAGCGCAACCCCUAUCCUUAGUUGCCAUCGGUUCGGCCGGGAACUCUACGGAGACCGCCAGUGACAAACUGGAGGAAGGUGGGGACGACGUCAAGUCAUCAUGGCCCUUAUGGCUAGGGCUACACACGUGCUACAAUGGCCGGUACAGAGGGCCGCAAACCCGCAAGGGGAGCCAAUCCCAGAAAGCCGGUCGUAGUCCGGAUCGGAGUCUGCAACUCGACUCCGUGAAGUCGGAAUCGCUAGUAA
This 423-nucleotide ribosomal RNA is filed under the name uncultured bacterium. RNAcentral's name for it is "bacterial SSU rRNA". It matches the Rfam family "Bacterial small subunit ribosomal RNA", at positions 917 to 1341 of the family's 1533-position model. The record is from RNAcentral.